GGGGGUGUAGCUCAGUUGGCAGAGCAUCUGCUUUGCACGCAGAAGGUCAGCGGUUCGAAUCCGCUCACCUCCA
This 73-nucleotide transfer RNA is filed under the name Planctomycetales bacterium 4484_113. Its description in RNAcentral is "tRNA-Ala". It matches the Rfam family "tRNA". From Rfam's summary of the family: Transfer RNA (tRNA) molecules are approximately 80 nucleotides in length. Their secondary structure includes four short double-helical elements and three loops (D, anti-codon, and T loops). Lineage: Bacteria; Pseudomonadati; Planctomycetota; Planctomycetia; Planctomycetales. The record is from RNAcentral. RNAcentral also lists the same sequence under 1 other name.